This 342-nucleotide unclassified non-coding RNA is filed under the name soil metagenome. RNAcentral's name for it is "partial contains 5.8S ribosomal RNA, internal transcribed spacer 2, and large subunit ribosomal RNA". The stretch from base 1 to 120 matches the Rfam family "5.8S ribosomal RNA", at positions 35 to 154 of the family's 154-position model. The record is from RNAcentral.
GAUGAAGAACGUAGCGAAAUGCGAUAAGUAGUGUGAAUUGCAGAAUUCAGUGAAUCAUCGAAUCUUUGAACGCACAUUGCGGCCAUAGGUAUUCCUUUGGCCAUGCCUGUUCGAGCGUCAUUUACACCCUCAAGCCUAGCUUGGUGUUGGGCGUCUGUCCCGCCGUUCUCGCGCGCGGACUCGCCUCAAAGUCAUUGGCGGCGGUCGUGCCGGCCCCCUCGCGCAGCACAUUUGCGCUUCUCGGAGGCCCGGCGGAUCCGCGCUCCAGCAAGACCUUUCACGACUUGACCUCGGAUCAGGUAGGGAUACCCGCUGAACUUAAGCAUAUAAAUAAGCGGAGGA